CAAUCCGGGAGCCAGUAGAGGUGCUGCAUGGCUGUCGUCAGCUCGUGUCGUGAGAUGUUGGGUUAAGUCCCGCAACGAGCGCAACCUUACCCUUAGCUGCCAGCGGAUAAUGCCGGGCACUCUAAGGGGACCGCCCCGGAUAACGGGGAGGAAGGCGGGGAUGACGUCAAGUCAGCAUGGCCUUUAUGUCCAGGGCUACACACGUGCUACAAUGGGCGAUACAGAGGGAAGCAAGGCCGCAAGGUAGAGCUAAUCCCUAAAGCCGUCCUCAGUUCGGAUUGCAGGCUGCAACUCGCCUGCAUGAAGUCGGAAUCGCUAGUAGUCGCGGAUCAGCUACGCCGCGGUGAAUACGUUCUCGGGCCUU
RNAcentral lists this ribosomal RNA (364 nucleotides) under uncultured Aminicenantes bacterium. RNAcentral's name for it is "bacterial SSU rRNA". It matches the Rfam family "Bacterial small subunit ribosomal RNA", at positions 1017 to 1382 of the family's 1533-position model. The record is from RNAcentral. Lineage: Bacteria; Candidatus Aminicenantota.